Molecule: ribosomal RNA, 253 nt
Filed under: uncultured bacterium
Lineage: Bacteria
Description: partial 16S ribosomal RNA
Rfam family: Bacterial small subunit ribosomal RNA
Source: RNAcentral
UACGUGGGGGGCAAGCGUUAUCCGGAUUUACUGGGUGUAAAGGGAGCGUAGACGGCGAUGCAAGCCAGAUGUGAAAGCCCGGGGCUCAACCCCGGGACUGCAUUUGGAACUGUAUAGCUAGAGUGUCGGAGAGGCAGGCGGAAUUCCUAGUGUAGCGGUGAAAUGCGUAGAUAUUAGGAGGAACACCAGUGGCGAAGGCGGCCUGCUGGACGAUGACUGACGUUGAGGCUCGAAAGCGUGGGGAGCAAACAGG